GAUGAACGCUGGCGGCGUGCCUAAUACAUGCAAGUCGAGCGAACGGACGAGAAGCUUGCUUUUCUGAUGUUAGCGGCGGACGGGUGAGUAACACGUGGAUAACCUACCUAUAAUACUGGGAUAACUUCGGGAAACCGGAGCUAAUACCGGAUAAUAUUUUGAACCGCAUGGUUCAAAAGUGAAAGACGGUCUUUCUGGCACUUCUAGAUGUAUCCGCGCUGCAUUAGCUGGUUGUUAAUGUAACGGCUUACCAAGGGAACGAUGCAUAGCCGACCUGAGAGGGUGAUCGGCCACACUGGAACUGAGACACGGUCCAGACUCCUACGGGAGGCAGCAGUAGGGAAUCUUCCGCAAUGGGCGAAAGCCUGACGGAGCAACGCCGCGUGAGUGAUGAAGGUCUUCGGAUCGUAAAACUCUGUUAUUAGGGAAGAACAUAUGUGUAAGUAACUGUGCACAUCUUGACGGUACCUAAUCAGAAAGCCACGGCUAACUACGUG
This 497-nucleotide ribosomal RNA is filed under the name uncultured bacterium. Its description in RNAcentral is "partial 16S ribosomal RNA". It matches the Rfam family "Bacterial small subunit ribosomal RNA", at positions 28 to 507 of the family's 1533-position model. The record is from RNAcentral.